Molecule: small nuclear RNA, 101 nt
Organism: Ictidomys tridecemlineatus (thirteen-lined ground squirrel)
Lineage: Eukaryota; Metazoa; Chordata; Mammalia; Rodentia; Sciuridae
Source: Ensembl
UUGCUUUAGCAGCACAUAUACUAAAAUUGGAACAAUAUAGAAGAUUAGCAUGGCCCCUGCAUGAGGAUGAUUCGCAAAUUCAGGAAGCAUUCCAUGUUUAA